UACGGGGUGCAGCAGGCGCGAAAACUUUACAAUGCCGGCAACGGCGAUAAGGGGACCUCGAGUGCCAGGUUACAAAUCUGGCUGUCGUGAUGCCUAAAAAGCAUUGCAUAGCAAGGGCCGGGCAAGACCGGUGCCAGCCGCCGCGGUAAUACCGGCGGCUCGAGUGGUGGCCACUAUUACUGGGCUUAAAGCGUCCGUAGCUGGAUUGUUAAGUCUCUUGGGAAAUCCACCGGCUCAACCGAUGGGCGUUCAGGAGAAACUGACAAUCUAGGGACCGGGAGAGGUGAGAGGUACUCCAGGGGUAGGAGUGAAAUCCUGUAAUCCUUGGGGGACCACCUGUGGCGAAGGCGUCUCACUAGAACGGCUCCGACAGUGAGGGACGAAAGCUGGGGGAGCAAACCGGAUUAGAUACCCGGGUAGUCCCAGCUGUAAACGAUGCGCGUUAGGUGUAUCGGUGACCACGAGUCAUCGAGGUGCCGAAGGGAAACCGUGAAACGUG
This 499-nucleotide ribosomal RNA is filed under the name uncultured archaeon. RNAcentral's name for it is "bacterial SSU rRNA". It matches the Rfam family "Archaeal small subunit ribosomal RNA", at positions 324 to 823 of the family's 1478-position model. The record is from RNAcentral.